This 452-nucleotide unclassified non-coding RNA is filed under the name Fusarium metavorans. Its description in RNAcentral is "sequence contains 18S rRNA gene, ITS1, 5.8S rRNA gene, ITS2, 28S rRNA gene". The stretch from base 125 to 278 matches the Rfam family "5.8S ribosomal RNA". The record is from RNAcentral. Lineage: Eukaryota; Fungi; Ascomycota; Sordariomycetes; Hypocreales; Nectriaceae.
AACAUACCUAAACGUUGCCUCGGCGGGAACAGACGGCCCUGUGAAAACGGGCCGCCCCCGCCAGAGGACCCCCUAACUCUGUUUCUAUAAUGUUUCUUCUGAGUAAAACAAGCAAAUAAAUUAAAACUUUCAACAACGGAUCUCUUGGCUCUGGCAUCGAUGAAGAACGCAGCGAAAUGCGAUAAGUAAUGUGAAUUGCAGAAUUCAGUGAAUCAUCGAAUCUUUGAACGCACAUUGCGCCCGCCAGUAUUCUGGCGGGCAUGCCUGUUCGAGCGUCAUUACAACCCUCAGGCCCCCGGGCCUGGCGUUGGGGAUCGGCGGAGGCCCUCCGUGGGCACACGCCGUCCCCCAAAUACAGUGGCGGUCCCGCCGCAGCUUCCAUCGCGUAGUAGCUAACACCUCGCGACUGGAGAGCGGCGCGGCCACGCCGUAAAACCCCCAACUCUUCUGAA